CCUACGGGAGGCAGCAGUGAGGAAUAUUGGUCAAUGGGCGGGAGCCUGAACCAGCCAAGCCGCGUGAGGGAAGAAGGUACAGCGUAUCGUAAACCUCUUUUGUCAGGGAACAAAGGCGGGGACUAGUCCCCGGAUGAGGGUACCUGAAGAAAAAGCAUCGGCUAACUCCGUGCCAGCAGCCGCGGUAAUACGGAGGAUGCGAGCGUUAUCCGGAUUUAUUGGGUUAAAGGGGUGCGCAGGCGGCCUGUUAAGUCAGCGGGAAAAGCCCGGGGCUCAACCCCGGCGAGCCUUUGAAACUGGCGGGCUGGAGUUGGAGAGAGGUACGCGGAAUGCGCGGUGUAGCGGUGAAAUGCUUAGAUAUCGCGCAGAACCCCGGUUGCGAAGGCAGCGUACCGGCUCCACACUGACGCUGAGGCACGAAAGCGUGGGUAUCGAACAGGAUUAGAUACCCCAGUAGUC
Molecule: ribosomal RNA, 459 nt
Filed under: uncultured bacterium
Lineage: Bacteria
Description: partial 16S ribosomal RNA
Rfam family: Bacterial small subunit ribosomal RNA
Source: RNAcentral